UGCUGGUCCGAUGGCAGUGGGUUAUCAGAACUUAUUAACAUUAGUGUCACUAAAGUUGGUAUACCACCCCCCCCACUGCUAAAUUUGACUGGCUUUAA
Unclassified non-coding RNA from Cavia porcellus (domestic guinea pig), 98 nucleotides. It matches the Rfam family "Y RNA". Rfam says of the family: Y RNAs are components of the Ro ribonucleoprotein particle (Ro RNP), in association with Ro60 and La proteins. NCBI's taxonomy places the organism in Eukaryota, Metazoa, Chordata, Mammalia, Rodentia, Caviidae. The record is from Ensembl.